Molecule: ribosomal RNA, 494 nt
Filed under: uncultured bacterium
Lineage: Bacteria
Description: partial 16S ribosomal RNA
Rfam family: Bacterial small subunit ribosomal RNA
Source: RNAcentral
GACGAACGCUGGCGGCGUGCUUAACACAUGCAAGUCGAACGGAAAGGCCUGCUUUCCCUUGUGGUUUGCGGGUCCUCGAGUGGCGAACGGGUGAGUAACACGUGAGUGAUCUGCCCCCAACUUGGGUAUAAGCCUGGGAACCUGGGUCUAAUUCCCGAUAGGACUGCAUGGUUGUGCCUGUGGUGGAAAACGAUUUUCUAGUGGUUGGGGAUGAGCUCGCGGCCUAUCAGCUUGUUGGUGGGGUAAUUGCCUACCAAGGCGGCGACGGGUAGCCGGCCUGAGAGGGUGGACGGCCAGAUUGGAACUGCGAUACGGCCCAGACUCCGACGGGAGGCAGCAGAGGGGAAUACUGCACGAUGGGGGGAAGCGUGAUGCAGCGACGCCGCGUGGGGGAUGACGGGCUUCGGGUUGUAAACUCAUUUGGACCGCGAGGAAGCCACCUGGUUGGAAGGGGGGUGACGGUAGUGGUAGAAGAAGCACCGGCUAACUACGUG